GAAUGAAGACCAUUCUCAGCAAUCAGACUGUCGACAUUCCAGAAAAUGGUAUGAGACUUGAUGUCUUUUACUUACAUCUUUACUGCGCGUUCCAAGCGUUGUGUGGCCUGACGAGUGUGUUCUCUCUUCUAGUCGACAUUACUCUGAAGGGACGCACAGUUAUUGUGAAGGGCCCCAGAGGAACCCUGCGGAGGGACUUCAAUCACAUCAAUGUAGAACUCAGUCUUCUUGGAAAGAAAAAAAAGAGGCUCCGGGUUGACAAAUGGUGGGGUAACAGAAAGGAACUGGCUACCGUUCGGACUAUUUGUAGUCAUGUACAGAACAUGAUCAAGGGAGUUACACUGGGCUUCCGUUACAAGAUGAGGUCUGUGUAUGCUCACUUCCCCAUCAACGUCGUUAUCCAGGAGAAUGGGUCUCUUGUUGAAAUCCGAAAUUUCUUGGGUGAAAAAUACAUCCGCAGGGUUCGGAUGAGACCAGGUGUUGCUUGUUCGGUAUCUCAAGCCCAGAAAGAUGAAUUAAUCCUUGAAGGAAAUGACAUUGAGCUUGUUUCAAAUUCAGCGGCUUUGAUUCAGCAAGCCACAACAGUUAAAAACAAGGAUAUCAGGAAAUUUUUGGAUGGUAUCUAUGUCUCUGAAAAAGGAACUGUUCAGCAGGCUGAUGAAUAAGAUCUAAGAGUUAGCCCGGCUACAGAAAGAAGAUGCCAGAUGACACUUAAGACCUACUUGUGAUAUUUAAAUGAUGCAAUAAAAGACCUGUUGAUUUGGACCUUC
Molecule: small RNA, 770 nt
Filed under: Pongo abelii (Sumatran orangutan)
Lineage: Eukaryota; Metazoa; Chordata; Mammalia; Primates; Hominidae
Description: retained intron
Source: RNAcentral